Molecule: long non-coding RNA, 10388 nt
Organism: Salvelinus fontinalis (brook trout)
Lineage: Eukaryota; Metazoa; Chordata; Actinopteri; Salmoniformes; Salmonidae
Exons: 2
Source: RefSeq, a predicted model, not a curated record
CUCUCUCUGUACCUGCUCCACCACCGUGCCAUCUGAACAACACAACCCACAUCACCACUCACCACCGACCACCUACCAGCCUGCUCCAAUCCGCUCCAGCCCCAGAUAUAACAUUGGAAAAGGAUUCAAUCAAUAAUCCAGGCUUUUAAAGGGCUGGUUUGAACUGUUUCAUGUGUCUGUUAUAGCCAGCAUUGAUCAGAUGCACUUCGCUCAUGCUUUCUGAGGCAAUGACAUCAAAUGUCAAUUAAUUUGUUCUUUGUGUUUAAAAAAAGGCAUAGUGAGUCAUUGUUGUUUACUUAGAAACAGAAAUGAUAUGAAUGAGGGACAUAGGGAAAGUGCACUGUGUGUGAGAGAGAGAAAGAGAGAGAGAUAAGUUCUGCAUUUAUAAACAAUGUUUGUGCAUAUCUGUGCACAGUAUGUGUGCGUGUUUAUGCACUGUGUGUGUGUGUGUGUGUGUGUGUGUGUGUGUGUGUGUGUGUGUGUGUGUGUGUGCGUGUGUAUCUCUGUGUUUGUACACAUUGUAUGUGUGUGGGAGUAGUCAUCCUACUAUUCCCCCCACUACGGCAGAUGGCAAGUGACAAGGACAUUGUCGGCUGCAGUAAUAGAGCAGAGUAAAGCAGAGUAAAGCAGAGUAGAGCAGUAGUAGAGCAGUAGUAGAGCAGAGUAAAGUAGAGUAGAGCAGAGUAGAGCAGAGCAGAGCAGAGCAGAGCAGAGCAGAGCAGAGUAGAGUAGAGUAGAGUAGAGCAGAGCAGAGCAGAGCAGAGUAGAGCAGAGUAGAGCAGAGUAGAGCAGAGUAAAGCAGAGUAGAGCAGAGUAGAGCAGUAGUAGAGCAGUAGUAGAGCAGUAGUAGAGCAGUAGUAGAGCAGUAGUAGAGCAGAGUAGAGCAGUAGUAGAGCAGUAGUAGAGUAGAGUAGAGCAGAGUAGAGACUGGUGUCCUACUGAGACAGCAUGGCUCAACAUGACCAGAUCAGACCUCCUCAGGAGAACAUCACAGAUAGAAAGACCAACUGCCAUCUAAGACAAGAAAAUAAGGAGCCCAGACAAAAGGAAUGUUUCACAUUAAAUAUCCAAAUACUAACACCUCAAACUUUGAACAUUACUGCCGAAAAAACAAGUUAUUUAUUUUAUCCUUCAAAUUUGCCAAGCUCCAGGGUGGAGGGGCUAUUUAUAUAUAUUUUUUAAAGAUCAUUUGAAUAUUUAAAAAAAGAAGUUGUUAUUUGAGAGAACUCCAAGGGAUGCGUACACGGUAGGCUAUAACUGUGUUUAGCAGUGCGUUAAAGAGAGGGGGAUUCUCUCCCAGCUCAUUCCACCCCACUAGUAGUCUCCUCUGUCUCGUGGAGUCGCUAAUUGCGCCUCCUUGCCAGCCUGGGAGGGCAUCCGUCAGGCUUGACCCACCACUGGGAUUAAAAGGCAAGAUGUGGAUGAAUGUAUAAAUGAGGGGUACCAUGAGGCUGGGAGCGAAAACACAGUCUACAAACCAUCUGGCCUCUGAAAGAUUUAACAUCCACAAGGAUGGAACAUAUUAAAGACCACCAAGCUAUGUCAGGGAGAAUGAACUCCUCUCUCUGCAUGCAUGUUUACUAUAUUAUGCAUCGGUCUGUUUUUUUCCCAGAAGACACAUUCCACUUACAAUAAACAAAAUGGUAAUCGGGCACUUAUAUUGAGGCAUCCAACGAAUCAAUGUCAUCCGACAAACUACGUUACCCAUACAACCCCAUCAUACAAUCCCCCAGAAAUAGAAUGCAUCCUCACGCUGUAUCAGCCACCAUCUUUCCCGCUGAUAUCCUCCACUGUUCUCUAGUAGUACUUUUCUAUACAUCAAACCCCUCGACUGCCCGCCGUUGAGUUGUAAUUCCACUUUUAGUCAUGGCGAAUACAAAGAGGUGAGCAAGGCUGUGCCUUCCCUCUCUCCUGAGUGCUGUGAAACGGUUACCCCUUCUCCUGUGUUUCCUGGCCCCUGCUCUGGCCCCCGCUGAGAUCCCCCCUGCCUCCUCUUUUCCUGAGAUAUAACAUGUCAGACAAAUAGAACAGGCAGACAUUGAAAUGUGUCAGAGCCCAUCGAGAAUGAGAAUCAGAUGGGUGGUCGAGGGUGUAGUGGCUAGCUACACAGCGUUUGUAUAGAGCAACCACUACCUCAAUCCACAAAGCAAACGCAGAAACACAGGCCUGCAGAAACAUCACAGACACAACCACUGUACUGUAACAUUACUGAUACCACACUGCUACCAUCAAACCAUCAGAGACGUUCUCCGUCUCUGUAGUCAGAGGAGAGAGGAACUGAUAGUAGUGGGUCUAUUUUCAUGUUAUGGAAAUGGAGAGACAGCAGUGGUGAUUUUAGCAUGGAAAUCUUGGUGGAGCAAACAAACAGAAAAUGUGGGAUGCAUGCCAGCAAAGCCACUACACUACACAACACUACACUACACUACACAACACUACACUACACUACACAACACUACACUACACUACACUACACUACACUACACUACACUACACUACACUACACGAAACAAUACAUGAAUUGUCAUUCAGGGCAGGUGGGGCAGAGCUUUUAGGUAAAAAUAUAUAUAUAUAUAUGUUUUUUUGGGGGGGCUUGCCUGUUUUAUUUGUUAUUUUGGCAUUAAUACGUGUCACAUAUCAGUUUGCAAACAAUGUAAAACAAAAUAUAUAUAUCAUUAAGUUAAUAAAGCCGCAUACAAACAUGGUCUCUUUUUUGUUUUCCUGAGUAAGGCAUCUCCAAAAUGCAGGUGUUUCAGCCUAGCUCAGUGUUUUCUGUGGUGCUGGGGCAGCCAGCGGAAAAUACAGAGCGUUGCACCUGAUUGGUUCAGUUUUCUGUCGUGAUUGGUUCAGUUUUCUGUCGUGAUUGGCUCAGUUUUCUGUCACUCAUGGGACAGUACGUCAUCCCCAAUUCUAAGCUUAGAGCUCGGAAAUGUUAGCCCCUUGGGAUAUGCCAUAGAUUAAUAUUAGUAGUGCCCAUCCAAGAAGGCUCAAUGUCUUUGGCCACAGAUAGAAUGACAUCAAAUCACGUUAUAGCUACAGUAGCUUUGAUUGGACUGAUCAUGUCAACAUCUUACUUUCAACGUCUUAGCUAAGAGUCAUCAUCAGUUGUCAUCAAGUCGACAAUCUACUGGCAAAUCCUUUUCAAUCCUUGUCAUACGAAGAGAAAUAAUGAAGAGAAAUUAUAGAUAAAACGUAUCGGUGCUCAUCGGCCAUUGGACAUAAAGAUUACACAACAAGUUGGAAAUCGCAAAUUCAACAAUGAGUCGUUUGGAAGGAAUCAGUGGCUAACUGCAAAGAAACUACUAACGUUAGCCUGCUGUUCAAUGGAGUGGCUGUGUUUUUUCCCCGAGUUCCCACCAUAAAUACAAAGAAUGCCAGACUUUGAUGACAAAGUUUGAUGACAAAAUUUGCCCACAAAGGACCGCUGCGCCACCUUCACAAGGUGAGUCCAAAAAUGUCUUGUAUGCUGCUGCAUAGAUGAUGUAAUAUGCAAGAGAGAUGUGAAUACUGUAGCUAAGAAAGUAAUACUAAGUGUAUAUUGUGUAGUAAGCUGUUAGUAGCCCAUGUGCCUCACCCUAAUAAGUUGGUCUAUUUUCACCAAAGCGGUAUUAUAAACACAUUGUUCAUGGUCCGGUGUUUUCUUGUUUGGCUACUUUUUUGUACAGCUUUGACAGUGCUACUGAUAGUAGCGGUAUUGGUGGUGCUUGGAUUGCACAUGCAAAUUCAGCACACACAACAUUCUAUAAUAUAAUUGUGUUAUUUGACGUCUCAAAUUAAAAGCUAAUUUAACGUGUCAAAUAGUGUUAUAUGACGUGUAUAUUUUUUGACACGCAAAGACCCAAAUGCCGUUCAAUGUGCCUCAUCCUAAUAAUUUGUUCUAUUUUCACCUCUUAAUUUUGCCUACUGUUCUAACUUGGUGGUGCACAAAUAGCCUAAAACCUGUUAUUGAGAAAUGUAAUCAUUGAAUAUUCUAAGAGCUUUCAUUGUCUGUUUAUAUGCCCCCUUUAUUUAUCCUACAGUUCUGACUUGUUGUACAGGGAGUACACUGUAAGAACGGCCUAUGUUCUGAAUUUUGUCGCUGUACAUUUCAAAAGUGCUGAAGAAAUAGUUUUAUUGACUACGCCCAUCCUAGCUCGCUCAUUAAUUUCUUAAUCAAAAUGACGGAUUACCCUUUAUCCGCUUGUCGUCCCCUUAUGCCAUAGUUUGUAUAUCUCUAUUGUAACUAGAAACCACAUUUGUUUAUGCAAGUCUGCCAUAUCAGCUAUGUUUUUUAAAAGGCAGUAAAUGAGGCUGAAUGAACUGUUUCGAUGCCAGACAAGGCUUCGCUGAAAGCCAGGUGUAGCGGUGGUAAGUUGUUGGGACUCUGCUGUUGGGACAGCUUUAUGUAGGCUCCAGUGGCAAUUUUAGCAUGUACGUCUUGGUGGGGCCAACAAAAUAAUUUGGGAUGCAUGCCAGCAAAGCCAAUACACGACACAACACUAAACAAUAAAUGAAUUGCACUCUAACAGUGAUAAACGGUGCCCACAAACUGUUAGGGACUACAUUUUUAUUUUGACAUUGUUUGCAAACUGAUACGUGACACAUAUUAAUGCCAAAAUAACAAGCAAAACAGGCAAGCCCCCCCCCCCCCUUUUUUUUUUUACCUAAAAGUUUGGUGCUCAAAACAGCCCCACCUGCCCUGAAUGACGGGUCGCCACUGAGAGACAGGGCCAUGGAAAGAAAAGGAGAGAGAGAUAGAGGGGAAUGAUAAUGGGAGAGAUGGAAACAGAGAGAACAUGUGUGUAGUAGAUAUGCACUAGUGUAGCAGGAUGGCUGUGUGAAGUGCAUUGUGGGUUGUGUGUUCUGUGGGCCGGAAAAGCUUCUCUCUGCUCAGCGGCCUCUCACCAGCCAGCCAGUCAAACAGCCAUCCAGCCUUCUUUCAGAAACAACCCGCGACUCUGCGCUGAUGGUAAGUAGAUAUGCCAGUUGGUUGUUUGUAAUACUGCUUGAUAUGCAGUUUGCCCGGGGCUAUGGUGUAAUGAAUGUAAACUAGGAUCCCCCAGGAGAGGAGUUAUGAUCGUCGUUAACUCCUUCACUGCCGGCUGUCCCCCCACUUAAAGGUGUGUCAUGUGAUUGCCAUCUGAUCAAUGUGAAACCAAAUCAAUAUAGACAGUGCAUAAGCAGAUAGUCAACAUGAAUGUAUAGUACAUAUUCAAGGUGUAUACAAGAACCCUUACAGGUGACUGUUUCAGGGCCACCAUUACCCUCUUCCCUGCCUGCACACACUCCCUCAUAAUGCUAUCUGGCCUUUCACGGGCUCAUCAGGAAUUGCUCACCACAAUGUCCUGAGUUCCCAGGAAGACAUUUGCGGCAGAAAUGAGUAGCACGCCCUGAUGGCUGUGACUGGGCUAGAAAGUAGAUGUAUGUGGUGCAGUGAGAGAGGGAAAGAGAGAGAGAGAUAGAUUUUGUGUAUUGUCUACCUCAUUUGCUUUGGCAAUGUUAACACAUGUUUCCCAUGCCAAUAAAGCCCCUUGAAUUGAAUUGAAUUGAUAGAAAGAUAGAGGGGAAUGACAGAGACAGAGAAAGAGGGAAAGAGAGACAGAUAGAGAGGGAAAGAGAGAGACAGAGAGAGGGAAAGAUAGAGAAAGAUAGAGAGAGGGAAAGAGAGAGAGAGAGAUAGAAAGAUAUAAUAUAGGGAAAGAGAGCGAAAGAUAGAAAGAUAGAUUGGAAAGACAGAGACAGAGAAAGAGGGAAAGAGAGACAGAUAGAGAGGGAAAGAGAGCGACAGAGAGAGAGAGGGAAAGAUAGAGAAAGAUAGAAAUAUAGGGGAAGAGAGCGAGAUAGGGAGAGAAAGAUAGAAAGAUAGAGGGGCAAGACAGAGAUAGAGAAAGAGGGAAAGAGAGAAAGAUAGAGAGGGAAAGAGAGAAAGAUAGAAAGAGAGGGAAAGAGAAAUAUAGAAAGAUAGAAGGAAAGAUAGAGAAAGACAGAGAGAGGGAAAGAGAGAGACAGAUAUAGAGAGAGGGAAAGAGAGAGAAAGAUAGAGGGAAAGAGAGAGACAGAGAGAGAGAGAAAGAGAGAAGAAAGAUAGAGAGGGAAACAGAGGGAAAGAGAGAGGGAAAGAGAGAGGGGAAGAGAGAGGGGAAGAGAGAGGGAAAGAGAGAGGGAAAGAGAGAGGGAAAGAGAGAGGGAAAGAGAGAGGGAAAGAGAGAGGGAAAGAGAGAGGGAAAGAGAGAAGAAAGAUGGAGGGAAAAUAGAGAGAAAGAUGGAGGGAAAGGGAGAGACAGAUAGAGAGAGAGGGAAGGAGAGAGAAAGAUAGAAAGAGAAAGAUAGAGAGAGAGGGAAAGAGAGAGGGAAAGAGAGAGAGGGAAAGAGAGAAGAAAGAUAGAGGGAAACAGAGAGAAAGAGAGAGGGAAAGAGAGAGGGAAAGAGAGAAGAAAAAUAAAGGGAAAAUAGAGAGAAAGAUGGAUGGAAAGGGAGAGACAGAUAGAGAGAGGGAAAGAGGAGACAGAUAGAGUGGGGGAAAAGAGAGAAAGAUCGAGAGGGAAAGAGAGAGAAAGACAGAGAGAGAAAGAGAAAGAUAGAGAGACAGAGAGAGAUGGAAAGAGAGGGAAAGAGAGAGGGAAAGAGAGAGGGAAAGAGAGAAGAAAAACGGAGGGAAAAUAGAGAGAAAGAUGGAGGGAAAGGGAACACAGAUAGAGAGAGGGAACGAGGAGAGAUAGAGAGUGGGGAAAAGAGAGAAAGAGAGAGAGGGAAAGAGAGAGAGAGAGAAAGAUGGAAAGAGAAAGAGAGAGAAGGAAAGAGAAGGAAAGAGAAGAUAAGAGAGGGAAAGAAAGGGCAAGAGAGAGAAAGAUGGAGAGAUAGGGAAGGAGAGAGACAGAUAGAGAAGGAAAGAUAGAGGGAAAGAGAGUGAAAGAUAGAGAGGGAAAGAGAGAAAGAUAGAAAGAGAGGGAAAUAGAAAUAUAGAAAGAUAGAGGGAAAGAGAGAGAGACAGAGAGAAGGAAAGAUAGAGAAAGACAGAGAGAGGGAAAGAGAGAGACAGCUAUAGAGAGGGGGAAGGAGAGAGAAAGAUAGAGAGAGAAAGAGAAAGAUAGAGAGACAGAUAGAGAGAGAGAGAUAUAGAGAGAGAUGGAAAGAGAGACAGAUCGAGAGAGCGGGAAAGAUAGAGAAAGAUAGAGAGGGAAGGAGAGAGAGAGACAGAGAGAAGGAAAGAUAGAGAAAGACAGAGAGAGGGAAAGAGAGAGACAGAUAUAGAGAGAGGGAAAGAGAGAGAAAGAUAGAGGGAAAGAGAGAGACAGAGAGAGAGAGAAAGAGAGAAGAAAGAUAGAGAGGGAAACAGAGAGAAAGAUAGAGGGGAAGAGAGAGGGGAAGAGAGAGGGAAAGAGAGAGGGAAAGAGAGAGGGAAAGAGAGAGGGAAAGAGAGAGGGAAAGAGAGAGGGAAAAUAGAGGGAAAAUAGAGAGAAAGAUGGAGGGAAAGGGAGAGACAGAUAGAGAGAGAGGGAAGGAGAGAGAAAGAUAGAAAGAGAAAGAUAGAGAGAGAGGAAAAGAGAGAGAAAGAUAGAGGGAAAGAGAGAGACAAAGAGAGAGAGGGAAAGAGAGAAGAAAGAUAGAGGGAAAGAGAGAGGGAAAGAGAGAGGGAAAGAGAGAGGGAAAGAUAGAAGAAAAAUAAAGGGAAAAUAGAGAGAAAGAUGGAUGGAAAGGGAGAGACAGAUAGAGAGAGGGAAAGAGGAGACAGAUAGAGUGGGGAAAAGAGAGAAAGAGAGAGAGGGAAAGAGAGAGAAAGACAGAGAGAGAAAGAGAAAGAUAGAGAGACAGAGAGAGAUGGAAAGAGAGGGAAAGAGAGAGGGAAAGAGAGAAGAAAAACGGAGGGAAAAUAGAGAGAAAAAUGGAGGGAAAGGGGACACAGAUAGAGAGAGGGAACGAGGAGAGAUAGAGAGUGGGGAAAAGAGAGAAAGUGAGAGAGGGAAAGAGAGAGAGGGAAAGAGAGAGAGAGGGAAAGAGAGAGAGAAAGAGAGAGAAGGAAAGAGAAGGAAAGAGAAGAUAAGAGAGGGAAAGAAAGGGCAAGUGAGAGAAAGAUGGAGAGAUAGGGAAGGAGAGAGACAGAUAGAGAAGGAAAGAUAGAGGGAAAGAGAGUGAAAGAUAGAGAGGGAAAGAGAGAAAGAUAGAAAGAGAGGGAAAUAGAAAUAUAGAAAGAUAGAGGGAAAGAGAGAGACAGAGAGAAGGAAAGAUAGAGAAAGACAGAGAGAGGGAAAGAGAGAGACAGCUAUAGAGAGAGGGAAGGAGAGAGAAAGAUAGAGAGAGAAAGAGAAAGAUAGAGAGACAGAUAGAGAGAGAGAGAUAUAGAGAGAGAUGGAAAGAGAGACAGAUCGAGAGAGCGGGAAAGAUAGAGAAAGAUAGAGAGGGAAGGAGAGAGAGAGACAGAGAGAAGGAAAGAUAGAGAAAGACAGAGAGAGGGAAAGAGAGAGACAGAUAUAGAGAGAGGGAAAGAGAGAGAAAGAUAGAGGGAAAGAGAGAGACAGAGAGAGAGAGAAAGAGAGAAGAAAGAUAGAGAGGGAAACAGAGAGAAAGAUAGAGGGAAAGAGAGAGGGAAAGAGAGAGGGAAAGAGAGAGGGGAAGAGAGAGGGGAAGAGAGAGGGAAAGAGAGAGGGAAAGAGAGAGGGAGAGAGGGAAAGAGAGAGGGAAAGAGAGAGGGAAAGAGAGAGGGAAAGAGAGAGGGAAAGAGAGAGGGAAAAUAGAGGGAAAAUAGAGAGAAAGAUGGAGGGAAAGGGAGAGACAGAUAGAGAGAGAGGGAAGGAGAGAGAAAGAUAGAAAGAGAAAGAUAGAGAGAGAGGGAAAGAGAGAGAAAGAUAGAGGGAAAGAGAGAGACAAAGAGAGAGAGGGAAAGAGAGAAGAAAGAUAGAGGGAAACAGAGGGAAAGAGAGAGGGAAAGAGAGAGGGAAAGAGAGAGGGAAAGAUAGAAGAAAAAUAAAGGGAAAAUAGAGAGAAAGAUGGAUGGAAAGGGAGAGACAGAUAGAGAGAGGGAAAGAGGAGACAGAUAGAGUGGGGAAAAGAGAGAAAGAUCGAGAGGGAAAGAGAGAGAGGGAAAGAGAGAGAAAGACAGAGAGAGAAAGAGAAAGAUAGAGAGACAGAAAGAGAUGGAAAGAGAGAGAAAGAGAGAGGGAAAGAGAGAGGGAAAGAGAGAGGGAAAGAGAGAAGAAAAACGGAGGGAAAAUAGAGAGAAAGAUGGAGGGAAAGGGGACACAGAUAGAGAGAGGGAACGAGGAGAGAUAGAGAGUGGGGAAAAGAGAGAAAGUGAGAGAGGGAAAGAGAGAGAGGGAAAGAGAGAGAGAGGGAAAGAGAGAGAGAAAGAUGGAAAGAGAAAGAGAGAGAAGGAAAGAGAAGAUAAGAGAGGGAAAGAUAGGGCAAGAGAGAGAAAGUGGGAGAGAUAGGGAAGGAGAGAGACAGAUAGAGAAGGAAAGAUAGAGGGAAAGAGAGCGAAAGAUAGAGAGGGAAAGAGAGAAAGAUAGAAAGAGAGGGAAAUAGAAAUAUAGAAAGAUAGAGGGAAAGAGAGAGAGACAGAGAGAAGGAAAGAUAGAGAAAGACAGAGGGAAAGAGAGAGACAGCUAUAGAGAGAGGGAAGGAGAGAGAAAGAUAGAGAGAGAAAGAGAAAGAUAGAGAGACAGAUAGAGAGAGAGAGAUAUAGAGAGAGAUGGAAAGAGAGACAGAUCGAGAGAGCGGGAAAGAUAGAGAAAGAUAGAGAGGGAAGGAGAGAGAGAGAUAGAAAGAUAGAAAUAUAGGGAAAGAGAGCGAAAGAUAGAAAGAUAGAGGGGAAAGACAGAGACAGAGAAAGAGGGAAAGCGAGACAGAUAGAGAGGGAAAGAGAGAGACAGAGAGAGAAGGAAAGAUAGAGGGAAAGAGAGAGAAAGAUAGAGAGGGAAAGAGAAAAAGAUAGAAAGAGAGGGAAAGAGAAAUAUAGAAAGAUAGAGGGAAAGAGAGAGAGACAGAGAGAAGGAAAGAUAGAGAAAGACAGAGGGAAAGAGAGAGACAGAUAUAGAGAGAAGGAAGGAGAGAGAAAGAUAGAGAGAGAAAGAGAAAGAUAGAGAGACAGAUAGAGAGAUAGAGACAGAGAGAGAGAGGGAAAGAGAGAAGAAAGCUAGAGAGGGAAACAGAGGGAAAGAGAGAGGGAAAGAGAGAGGGAAAGAGAGAGAAAGACAGAGAGAGAAAGAGAAAGAUAGAGAGACAGAGAGAGAUGGAAAGAGAGGGAAAGAGAGGGAAAGAGAGAGGGAAAGAGAGAGGGAAAGAGAGAGGGAAAGAGAGAAGAAAAACGGAGGGAAAAUAGAGAGAAAGAUGGAGGGAAAGGGAACACAGAUAGAGAGAGGGAACGAGGAGAGAUAGAGAGUGGGGAAAAGAGAGAAAGAGAGAGAGGGAAAGAGAGA